This 250-nucleotide ribosomal RNA is filed under the name uncultured bacterium. Its description in RNAcentral is "partial 16S ribosomal RNA". It matches the Rfam family "Bacterial small subunit ribosomal RNA", at positions 524 to 773 of the family's 1533-position model. The record is from RNAcentral.
UACGUAAGUGGCGAGCGUUAUCCGGAAUUACUGGGUGUAAAGAGUGUGUAGGCGGCUUAUCAAGUCUCGUGUAAAAUCCCAAGGCUCAACCUUGGUCCUGCGCGGGAAACUGGUAGGCUUGAGUGGAUGAGAGGUAACUGGAAUUCCUGGUGUAGCGGUGAAAUGUGUAGAUAUCAGGAAGAACACCAAUGGCGAAGGCAGGUUACUGGCGUCCCACUGACGCUGAGACACGAAAGCAUGGGGAGCGAAC